UGAAGUACCGCUUCGCUUUGUGGAGGA
Molecule: small RNA, 27 nt
Filed under: Bombyx mori (domestic silkworm)
Lineage: Eukaryota; Metazoa; Arthropoda; Insecta; Lepidoptera; Bombycidae
Description: piRNA piR-bmo-1890142
Source: RNAcentral